GAUGAAGAACGUAGCGAAAUGCGAUAAGUAGUGUGAAUUGCAGAAUUCAGUGAAUCAUCGAAUCUUUGAGCGCACAUUGCGCCCCUUGGUAUCCCGAGGGGCAUGCCUGUUCGAGCGUCAUUUCACCACUCAAGCCUGGCUUGGUGUUGGGCGACGUCCCCUUUGGGGACGCGCCUCGAAACGCUCGGCGGCGUGGCACCGGCUUUAAGCGUAGCAGAAUCUUUCGCUUUGGAAGUCGGGGCCCCGUCUGCCGGAAGACCUACUCGCAAGGUUGACCUCGGAUCAGGCAGGGAUACCCGCUGAACUUAAGCAUAUCAAUAAGCGGAGGA
RNAcentral lists this unclassified non-coding RNA (329 nucleotides) under soil metagenome. Its description in RNAcentral is "partial contains 5.8S ribosomal RNA, internal transcribed spacer 2, and large subunit ribosomal RNA". The stretch from base 1 to 120 matches the Rfam family "5.8S ribosomal RNA", at positions 35 to 154 of the family's 154-position model. The record is from RNAcentral.